RNAcentral lists this ribosomal RNA (416 nucleotides) under uncultured bacterium. RNAcentral describes it as "bacterial SSU rRNA". It matches the Rfam family "Bacterial small subunit ribosomal RNA", at positions 362 to 776 of the family's 1533-position model. The record is from RNAcentral.
UAUUGGUCCAUGGUCGGGAGACUGAACCAGCCAAGCCGCGUGAGGGAGGAAGGUACAGCGUAUCGUAAACCUCUUUUGUCAGGGAACANNGGCGGGGACGUGUCCCCGGAUGAGUGUACCUGACGCAAAAGCAUCGGCUAACUCCGUGCCAGCAGCCGCGGUAAUACGGAGGAUGCGAGCGUUAUCCGGAUUUAUUGGGUUUAAAGGGUGCGCAGGGGGUCGGUUAAGUGAGCGGUCAAAGCCCGGGGCUCAACCCCGGCCCGCCGUUGAAACUGGCAGUCUCGAGUUGGAGAGAAGUAUGCGGAAUGCGCGGUGUAGCGGUGAAAUGCAUAGAUAUCGCGCAGAACUCCGAUUGCGAAGGCAGCAUGCCGGCUCCACACUGACGCUGAGGCACGAAAGCGUGGGUAUCGAACAGG